AGCAAAGUAGACUUCUCAACAGAAAGAAAUAGGCCAGGCCUCCAGAGCUGGGACUGCGGACUGAGAGCAGGGCAAAUUCCCCUGGGGACUCUGUCCCUUCCAAGAGAGUGAUCGAGAAAAACAGCUUUUCUGAGAUUCGACCUGGGUGUCCCACGCCGGGAGGAUGAACAGGGCCACGUUCGCCAUCGCAGCAAGAACCCUGGAAAGAGCGUGCAUAUAUUGUAGCCUUGGUUCGCUUUUCCCUGGACUUCCGAACUCACCCUCCAUUCCCGGAGCAGUGACUAAGUACCCGGACCCCCUCAGGGACUCCAUCCAGGGGAUGUUCUAAGGACCACAGCCCUUGGAACUGGAUGGACUUUUUAGAAAUGAGUGCCAAAGGAAGUGGAAACCAGUUUAAAUUGGUGUGUAGCUGAAAGCUAAAAUCCACCCCCGCCCCAAAAAACCCCCCCGCUUCCUCUUUUUAUUACAAAUAAAUCUGCC
Capra hircus (goat) is the source of this 480-nucleotide long non-coding RNA. NCBI's taxonomy places the organism in Eukaryota, Metazoa, Chordata, Mammalia, Artiodactyla, Bovidae. The record is from Ensembl.